RNAcentral lists this ribosomal RNA (443 nucleotides) under uncultured bacterium. RNAcentral's name for it is "partial 16S ribosomal RNA". It matches the Rfam family "Bacterial small subunit ribosomal RNA", at positions 338 to 795 of the family's 1533-position model. The record is from RNAcentral.
CCUACGGGUGGCAGCAGUGGGGAAUAUUGGGCAAUGGGCGCAAGCCUGAUGCAGCAACGCCGCGUGAAGGAAGAAGGCUUUCGGGUUGUAAACUUCUUUCGUCAGGGACGAAGCAAGCGACGGUACCUGACGAAUAAGCGACGGCUAACUACGUGCCAGCAGCCGCGGUAAUACGGAGGGGGCAAGCGUUAUGCGGAUUUAGUGGGUGUAAAGGGGGUGUAGGCGGGAAUGCAAGUCAGAUGUGAAAACUAUGGGCUCAACCCAUGGCCUGCAUUUGAAACUGUAUUUCUUGAGUGCUGGAGAGGCAAUCGGAAUUCCGUGUGUAGCGGUGAAAUGCGUAGAUAUAAGGAGGAACACCAGUGGCGAAGGCGGAUUGCUGGACAGUAACUGACGCUGAGGCGCGAAAGCGUGGGGAGCAAACAGGAUUAGAUACCCGGGUAGUC